GAUGAACGCUGGCGGCGUGCCUAAUACAUGCAAGUCGAGCGAACAGGUGAGGGGUUUGCUCCUUGGAUGAUUUGCGCACAGGUGAGUGAAACAUGUGGAAAAUGCAUCGAAACGAGUGAUAACUAUUGGAGAAAAUGGCUCAAACCCCGGAAAAUUUAUUGAUGCAUAUGGUUUGAUAGUAAAAUACGGUUGUAUUGCUACCUAUAGAUGCUUCCGCGCCGUAUUAGCUAGUUGGUGAGGUAACGGCUUACCAAGGCAACGAUGCGUAGCCGACCUGAGAGGGUGAUCGGCCCCACUGGAACGAGGACCCGGCCCAGACUCCUACGGGGGGCAGCAGAAGGGAAUCUUCCGCAAUGGGCGAAAGCUUGACGGGGCAACGCCGCGUGAGUGAUGAAGGUCUCCGGUCCGUAAGACUCUGUUAAUAGGGAGAAACAGAUGUGUAAGUGACUAUGCACGUCUUGACGGUACCUAAUCAGAAAGGGACGGCUAACUACGUG
This 497-nucleotide ribosomal RNA is filed under the name uncultured bacterium. RNAcentral's name for it is "partial 16S ribosomal RNA". It matches the Rfam family "Bacterial small subunit ribosomal RNA", at positions 28 to 507 of the family's 1533-position model. The record is from RNAcentral.